Molecule: ribosomal RNA, 492 nt
Filed under: uncultured bacterium
Lineage: Bacteria
Description: partial 16S ribosomal RNA
Rfam family: Bacterial small subunit ribosomal RNA
Source: RNAcentral
AGUGAACGCUGGCGGUAGGCCUAACACAUGCAAGUCGAACGGCAGCACAGUAAGAGCUUGCUCUUACGGGUGGCGAGUGGCGGACGGGUGAGGAAUACAUCGGAAUCUACUUUUUCUUGGGGGAUAACGUAGGGAAACUUACGCUAAUACCGCAUACGACCUACGGGUGAAAGCAGGGGAUCUUCGGACCUUGCGCGAUUGAAUGAGCCGAUGUCGGAUUAGCUAGUUGGCGGGGUAAAGGCCCACCAAGGCGACGAUCCGUAGCUGGUCUGAGAGGAUGAUCAGCCACACUGGAACUGAGACACGGUCCAGACUCCUACGGGAGGCAGCAGUGGGGAAUAUUGGACAAUGGGCGCAAGCCUGAUCCAGCCAUGCCGCGUGAGUGAAGAAGGCCUUCGGGUUGUAAAGCCCUUUUGUUGGGAAAGAAAAGCAGCAGGUUAAUACCCCGCUGUUCUGACGGUACCCAAAGAAUAAGCACCGGCUAACUUCGUG